This 245-nucleotide long non-coding RNA is filed under the name Prunus persica (peach). RNAcentral's name for it is "long non-coding RNA (PPER_LNC004958)". The record is from RNAcentral. Lineage: Eukaryota; Viridiplantae; Streptophyta; Magnoliopsida; Rosales; Rosaceae.
GAUUUGAAAAUACUAUUCUCUUGACCGCAUCUCUAAAGAGAGUCAUUCACUAACAUUAUUCAUUUUGGAAACCUGAAUGUGCAAAGCUUGCAUCAGAGUGUAAAAGUUUCAAUCACAAGUUUUUUUUAAUAAUUUCUUUGUUUUUUUAAAAAAAAUUUAAACAUUUUAAUUUGAUAGUAAAUACAAAUCUCAAAACUUCGAAAAUUGGUCACGCAAUUGUUGAGGCCCAAAAAAUCCACGCUUCG